Long non-coding RNA from Ruditapes philippinarum (Manila clam), 391 nucleotides. RefSeq lists it as uncharacterized. The transcript is spliced from 3 exons. The record is from RefSeq and is a predicted model, not a curated record. NCBI's taxonomy places the organism in Eukaryota, Metazoa, Mollusca, Bivalvia, Venerida, Veneridae.
UGUGACGCUACACUUAUCAUGUGACCGAGUCUUCUACUCGUAAAACUCAUAAGUAAGGGUUGCUAUCUUUGUUAUCUAAUAUCAAGUUUAAGUUUAGGUUUAGACAAUCAAACAUGUCGCUAGGACCUGCAUUGUUGAUCAGCUUUCUGCUACUGGGAAUUUCUAUUUUAUAUGGCGAGACAACAGACUUGGACGCAAGUUGUACACCCCCAGUUGGCCAAGUGGCAGAUGAAUGUACGGUAGCCAAUUCGGAAUGUAAAACUGACACGUGUGUUUGCAAAACCGGGUUCAUUAAAGAAAAUGGAGCAUGCCCAAAAGGUAAAUUCUCUAUUAUUAUAUGUUGCAUAUAACAAAUCUAGUACAUUCGGUAACAGUCAUUUGAUAGACCUCA